Ictidomys tridecemlineatus (thirteen-lined ground squirrel) is the source of this 1086-nucleotide long non-coding RNA. RefSeq lists it as uncharacterized. Lineage: Eukaryota; Metazoa; Chordata; Mammalia; Rodentia; Sciuridae. The record is from RefSeq and is a predicted model, not a curated record.
AACAGGAUCUAUUCUUGCACACCACCUUCUGCUACUGCCUCCUCCUCCUUCCCAUCUCCAUUCCUGCUCAUAGAGAAUUUUAGCAUUGGGUAGGUAGAGAAAUAACUCAGGAGGCUGGAAGUGGAGGGCUGCUGAAGGCUGCUACUGCUACUACUGCUGCUGCUGCUGAUUGCAUAUGUUGGGGUAAUUUCAUCCCUGUGCAAAAAGACCCAAGCUUCAGUUGCAAACCAGCUUGCUGAAGUUAACCAUCCAUCCCAACCCUAUCAAGUUUGGCCCACCGAGGGCCCUCUCAAACAUUAAGAUUUUCUCUGGUUAUUCGGGUCAAGAAGAUAACAGAAUUCCCAUUUUCACUGUUUAAAAACUGAAUAUCACUGAGAAGCAACUGAAAAUUGGAUGUAUUCAAGGCUGAAACUGCUCUUUUCAUGUUUAGUAAAUCUAGAUAGGUAUCUUUUCCAGUUUAUGAUGUAGUUGUAGACACUUACUGUGGAGUUGCUGAGACAAGAAUAGACAUUCAGGAUUGGCCCCUAGUCAUUAACUGCCAGAGCAGGCUGGACUCUGGCCUGGUGGGGAGAAUCCACCAAGUGAAGUCCAUCUGACUUUGCUUUCUGUGAAAAAAUAGCAUUCUCCAGAAGCAGCCUCUCCCUCCGAAGACUAAAUUCCAUCGCCUUCAAUUCAGACACAUUUCAGCUUUCUGGAAAGAGGAUGCUUGAUGAUCAACAUACCUCAUCUAGCUGGAGCCCCUGAUACUCAAGAAGACCAAGGGAGGACUUUCAUUCUUUUGAAAGGUAGCCAGGCCAUGUAAACCAGGGAGGUCUUUCUGAAGAGCAAAAUGUUAUUAGUCAUGAAAAUGAUUUUAAUCCCUUGUCCUAUAACUUCAAGUCUAUAAAUAAAAACUGGGUAAUGCUAAGAAUAGUAAUAAUGAUGAUGGUGAUGUCACUCUUACACAUCUGGGGUUCUAAAUCCCAGAGGUAGAAUCUAGCAGCCACAGAAAAUUUUAAAAAGUGAUUGUAUUCUUGGAGGCAUCAAAUUACUCCUAGUCUCUGUACACAAGAUGACUAUGAAUGAAGUUAAUUUUUAAACUAUUUA